This 506-nucleotide ribosomal RNA is filed under the name uncultured bacterium. Its description in RNAcentral is "bacterial SSU rRNA". It matches the Rfam family "Bacterial small subunit ribosomal RNA", at positions 8 to 524 of the family's 1533-position model. The record is from RNAcentral.
AGAGUUUGAUCCUGGCUCAGGACGAACGCUGGCGGCGUGCUUAACACAUGCAAGUCGAACGAUGACGGCGGUGCUUGCACCGCCUGAUUAGUGGCGAACGGGUGAGUAACACGUGAGUAACCUGCCCCUGACUCUGGGAUAAGCGUUGGAAACGACGUCUAAUACUGGAUACGACUGCCGGCCGCAUGGUCUGGUGGUGGAAAGAUUUUUUGGUUGGGGAUGGACUCGCGGCCUAUCAGCUUGUUGGUGAGGUAAUGGCUCACCAAGGCGACGACGGGUAGCCGGCCUGAGAGGGUGACCGGCCACACUGGGACUGAGACACGGCCCAGACUCCUACGGGAGGCAGCAGUGGGGAAUAUUGCACAAUGGGCGAAAGCCUGAUGCAGCAACGCCGCGUGGGGGAUGACGGCCUUCGGGUUGUAAACCUCUUUCAGCAGGGACGAAGCGAAAGUGACGGUACCUGCAGAAGAAGCACCGGCCGACUACGUGCCAGCAGCCGCGGUAAU